CACGUAGGGGGCGAGCGUUGUCCGGAUUUAUUGGGCGUAAAGAGCUCGUAGGCGGCUCGGUAAGUCAGGUGUGAAAACUCUAGGCUCAACCUAGAGACGCCACCUGAUACUGCUGUGGCUAGAGUCCGGUAGGGGAGCAUGGAAUUCCUGGUGUAGCGGUGAAAUGCGCAGAUAUCAGGAGGAACACCAGUGGCGGAAGGCGGCUUCCUGGCCCGGUACUGAACGCUGGAGGUGCGAAAGCGUGGGGAGCAAACAGG
This 257-nucleotide ribosomal RNA is filed under the name uncultured bacterium. RNAcentral's name for it is "partial 16S ribosomal RNA". It matches the Rfam family "Bacterial small subunit ribosomal RNA", at positions 524 to 776 of the family's 1533-position model. The record is from RNAcentral.